Molecule: ribosomal RNA, 482 nt
Filed under: uncultured soil bacterium
Lineage: Bacteria
Description: bacterial SSU rRNA
Rfam family: Bacterial small subunit ribosomal RNA
Source: RNAcentral
AGAAUCAACGCUGGCGGCGUGCCUCAGACAUGCAAGUCGAACGAUUAAAGCUCUCUUCGGAGAGUGUAUAGAGUGGCGCACGGGUGAGUAACACGUAAGUAAUCUACCUUUGAGUGGGGAAUAACCCGGGGAAACCCGAGCUAAUACCGCAUAAUGCAGCGGCAUCGCAAGAUGACAGUUGUUAAAGGAGCAAUCCGCUUGAAGAGGAGCUUGCGGCAGAUUAGCUAGUUGGUAAGGUAAUGGCUUACCAAGGCUACGAUCUGUAACCGGUCUAAGAGGACGGUCGGUCACACUGACACUGAAUAACGGGUCAGACUCCUACGGGAGGCAGCAGUCGGGAAUUUUGGGCAAUGGGCGAAAGCCUGACCCAGCAACGCCGCGUGAAGGAUGAAGUAUUCGGUAUGUAAACUUCGAAAGAAGUGGAAGAAUAAAUGAACGGUACCAAUUUAUAAGUCCGGUACUAACUACGUGCCAGCAGCCGC